CUUGAUAAUAUUUUGGUCUGAGAGACUUCUCUGCACUAUGUCGAUCUAGAGACUACGUCGGAUCAUCUAUAUCGGAGAUUAUGAGAUUUAGCUGCAAAAUUGACGACAUGGGAGGCCGAGAUGGACCAAAGCUUCGAAGAUUGGGGUUUCUGGCGAGGCGAGCAUACGAACCGUCGUCGUCGCCCUUGGUGUUCGCAUCACGAGGAUCUGCGAGAAAUUUGCAUGAAAUUUUCGAAAGCGUAGCAUCGAAGAAAUUUGUGCAUGCGAACCGUCGUCGUCGGCCUUAGUGUUCGCAUCACGACGAGGGAUCUGCAAGAAAUUUGCAUGAAAUCUUCGAAAUCAUAGCAUGGAAGAAGCUUGUGAGAUCGAAGAAGAUUGUAAUAGAUUGUAAUCGGCCUCGAUCUCCGAGACCUUGGCUGGGCCAUGUAAAGAGAAGCAUCUUCAGGCCCAUUCAUUGCAUAGCUUCCACUACCAGCAAGAUCUUCAGAGACCUUUUGUAAAGCUUGAAAAUGCAAAAAGGCCAUUGACUACAGGGAUCGUCGCUACUGAGAAGGCUUGGGAUCUUGAGAUGAUAAUGAUGAUGAAGAAAGCGACUUAGCUGAAUGAUAACUUAUUUGUUUGUUUGGUUUUUGGUGUGUGCGCGCCUGUUUCUUUUUUCUUCUGUUAUCAAGUUUCAGGUAAUAUAAUGAAUGAGGACGUUGGUUUACUGAGAAAACAUGAUUUGAAACAUGACACUAACAUGACUGAAUAACAAUAUAUUGACU
Prunus mume (Japanese apricot) is the source of this 764-nucleotide long non-coding RNA. RefSeq lists it as uncharacterized. The record is from RefSeq and is a predicted model, not a curated record. NCBI's taxonomy places the organism in Eukaryota, Viridiplantae, Streptophyta, Magnoliopsida, Rosales, Rosaceae.